GCCCCUUCGGGGGAGUGGCAGACGGGUGAGUAACGCGUGGGAAUCUACCCAGCUCUACGGAACAACACAGGGAAACUUGUGCUAAUACCGUAUACGUCCUUCGGGAGAAAGAUUUAUCGGAGUUGGAUGAGCCCGCGUUGGAUUAGCUAGUUGGUGGGGUAAUGGCCUACCAAGGCGACGAUCCAUAGCUGGUCUGAGAGGAUGAUCAGCCACAUUGGGACUGAGACACGGCCCAAACUCCUACGGGAGGCAGCAGUGGGGAAUAUUGGACAAUGGGCGCAAGCCUGAUCCAGCCAUGCCGCGUGAGUGAUGAAGGCCCUAGGGUUGUAAAGCUCUUUCAGUGGGGAAGAUAAUGACGGUACCCACAGAAGAAGCCCCGGCUAACUUCGUGCCAGCAGCCGCGGUAAUACGAAGGGGGCUAGCGUUGUUCGGAAUUACUGGGCGUAAAGCGCACGUAGGCGGAUUGUUUAGUGAGGGGUGAAAUCCCAGGGCUCAACCCUGGAACUGCCUCUCAUACUGGCAGUCUCGAGUCCGGAAGAGGUGAGUGGAAUUCCGAGUGUAGAGGUGAAAUUCGUAGAUAUUCGGAGGAACACCAGUGGCGA
RNAcentral lists this ribosomal RNA (602 nucleotides) under Mesorhizobium qingshengii. RNAcentral describes it as "bacterial SSU rRNA". It matches the Rfam family "Bacterial small subunit ribosomal RNA", at positions 81 to 718 of the family's 1533-position model. Lineage: Bacteria; Pseudomonadati; Pseudomonadota; Alphaproteobacteria; Hyphomicrobiales; Phyllobacteriaceae. The record is from RNAcentral.